GAACGGCUAUCCUCAACAGUGUGUAUAGGCUAGAACUUUCAGUUUGCAUUUAGGGUCAAAAUAUAUUGUUACAGUCAUGACAGCUUUCCCGUUGCUGUCAACAAACUUUAACCUUUCAUAACUUUUCAGAUCUUGGUGUAUUGUCUUCAUACUUGGCCACAACAACCCUUCAAAUAGACCAGACUAAACUUGACCUCCAUAUAAACAUUCAAGAUGGUCGGCCUACAUGUCAGAUUUGUAAAUGUGAACGGCACGAUAUUGAUUUUAAGGAUGCUUUAGGGUCAAUGAGGAUGAAAUAAAAUGUGAGACUGUCAAUCUGACAAACCUUGCAGUGAAUAAAUGGAAACAGUGGCGUUUGUAUGAUAGAACAGUAAUAGCAGGAGUGAUAAGGACAGAUGCAUGUAGAUGUGUCUUCAUGUCGGAAACACUAGAGAAAUUGACACAUUUGGUUUUUCAAAACUGAAAGAAAUUGGAAUACCAGGAGACUGCUUGCCAUUUGCAAUGUUGGAAUGUGUGAUGUCGAAAGCCUCAUGAAUAUAGUAACUUGACUUAAUCUAAUAAGAAAAAGAAAAGACAUUGAGGAGAAAACUAGUCACCAGUCUUUCACCUAGAACAUGAGAUAACUUUCCAAUAUUUGAAAUAUUAUAAUAUGUAUAGAACUUGAAUGAGUGACAUGAUAUGUAUUGAUAUUGAAUGAGCGACCAGUUUUUCACCAGGAAAAUAAGAUCACUUAUCUAUUUUUGAAAUAUGUAUGAACAGAACUCUAUCAACUUCAAGGUGAGAGUUUAUCAUGAAGAACAUGAGAUAACUUGUGUAUGAACAGAACCACAUUUGAAUAUAGAGGCGCCAGUUCAUCACAAAGAAGAUGAGCUAACUUAUCAAUGUUUGAAAUCUGUUAUACCCCUGCACAACAAAGUUGUAAGGGGGCUACACUGG
Ruditapes philippinarum (Manila clam) is the source of this 936-nucleotide long non-coding RNA. RefSeq lists it as uncharacterized. The transcript is spliced from 3 exons. Lineage: Eukaryota; Metazoa; Mollusca; Bivalvia; Venerida; Veneridae. The record is from RefSeq and is a predicted model, not a curated record.